Molecule: ribosomal RNA, 497 nt
Filed under: uncultured bacterium
Lineage: Bacteria
Description: partial 16S ribosomal RNA
Rfam family: Bacterial small subunit ribosomal RNA
Source: RNAcentral
GAUGAACGCUGGCGGCGUGCCUAAUACAUGCAAGUCGAGCGAACGGACGAGAAUCUUGCUUCUCUGGUGUUAGCGGCGGACGGGUGAGUAACACGUGGAUAACCUACCUAUAAGACUGGGAUAACUUCGGGAAACCGGAGCUAAUACCGGAUAAUAUUUUGAACCGCAUGGUUCAAAAGUGAAAGACGGUCUUGCUGUCACUUAUAGAUGGAUCCGCGCUGCAUUAGCUAGUUGGUAAGGUAACGGCUUACCAAGGCAACGAUGCAUAGCCGACCUGAGAGGGUGAUCGGCCACACUGGAACUGAGACACGGUCCAGACUCCUACGGGAGGCAGCAGUAGGGAAUCUUCCGCAAUGGGCGAAAGCCUGACGGAGCAACGCCGCGUGAGUGAUGAAGGUCUUCGGAUCGUAAAACUCUGUUAUUAGGGAAGAACAUAUGUGUAAGUAACUGUGCACAUCUUGACGGUACCUAAUAAGAAAGCCACGGCUAACUACGUG